AAAAAGCCGUCUCCAUGGAAGCGGCCCUUCCGCUCGGAGCCCGGCGGCCUGGAGGGAGACCCGGCGGGGAUGCGAGGAUUCCGCCCCAGCCCCAGAGGACGCGGCGGAGAGCCUGGAGGAGGCGCUUUGAGAGUCGAGGUCUCCCGCCCGCGCGCCUCCCUGGCGCAGACCUCUUUUAACUUUUUGGCGUGGAGUGCGCGUCCUGACGUGCCCCCUGAGCUACAGCUUACUGAGCUUUACUGGCUUCGCCGGACAGCCGUCCCCAGGUGGAGAGACAGCGCGUCGCGCGCUGCCCGGGCCCCGCAGGGCCUGGCGCCUGGGGCCCUUGCGCCGCUUUGGGGCGAGGGGAUCACACCGCGGGCUCCCGGAGCUUAGCGUCUUCCACGCGGCGCUGUGUGUCAUCCACGCAGUGUGCUCUCGCUGCCGUGUUCAGGUCACUGCGAGGGUGAGCCCCGCUUUAUCUACCCCUUCUGCUGUUGAUGGGCACUCGUCUGGGGCUAGAAGGGAUAAGGUUGCUGUGAGCGUUCUCGUGUGUUUUUGGUGCACGCGCACACACAUUUCUCUGGGGUGCAGACCUGUCUAGUAGUGGAACUGCCGUUUCCCAGCACUUUGGAGCAAAGCCCUGUUGCAGUCUGAAGCGGAAAAGGCAGACGGGCCUUCCAUGUUCGUGAUUCCAGCCAGGCACAGAAGGGAAGGACAGGGACAGCAGCCGCGCGGAGGCGAGGAGGGACACUGGGCGCUGCUGUCCCCUCUCAGGGGCAGCCACUCCUCUUGUGGACGCAGGUGUGGUCACCAGAAGGGAAGGACAGCAGAGGACUCUUCAGGGACCUUCCUGGAUCCCCCUGCAAUGGGAGUGGCCUACUUGCUUGACUUGAGGGUGAGACUUGGUCAGCCCUUGACUGUAGGGGGCAGGACCAUGGGCUUCAGUGGGGCAGCACCCAUGACCCACGCCUCUGCUUCCAUUCCCUGCUUACUGCCCGGGCCUCUGGGCAGGGGAGUCUAGUCUCCCUUCCCAGGCUUCCAAUGCCUCGCCCCCUGCUGUGGUAAGGAUUCGCGCUGGUCCCUAUUUAUUAAUCAGGGAACUUGGGGUUCCAGUUUUCUCCCCUUCUCUGCAUCUCAUCCCCUUGAGAGCCCCCUGGAGCAGAGGAUAACGCACGAGGGGACUGGCUGUGUAUAUUUUGAUAACAAUAUCAAAAUACUGUCAAAUACUAAACGGAAAAGAAAUAGGAAAACAUUGAACUUUAUUAAAAUGAACUUCAAAAGACACCAUUAAGAGUAAAAAGAUGACUCACAAAAAAGUUGCCUUUUGUUCAGUAAACGACUCAGGACCAGAAAAUAUGAAGACCCCUACAACAAGAAAAAUAUAGAUAGCUCAGUUAAAAAUUGACAAAAGACUUGAAAAGAUAUUUCACAAAAGGAGAGAUCCAGACAGUCAAUCCACACACGAAAGGGUACUUAGCAUCAGGGAACUGCAAAUAGUGACAUUCGAUUCCAUAUCACAGCCACUGGAUGGCUAAAAUAGCAACGCCAAGUGCUGAUGAGACUGUGGAACAACCAGCUGGGCUCUCAUACCCUGCUGAUGGGAGAGUGGAUUGGAGCAACCACGUGGAAACAUCUAAUGGAGGUUUCAGAGCUGUGGUAGAAACUUCUAGUACUGACAACAGCCAGUACCUCCCCGCUUGGCAGCUGAGACUAUGGGACCAGUUCUGGCCAAUGGAAUGUGAGGGGAAAUGACGGAUGUCAAUUCCAGGCUGAAGCUUUUAGUUGCCAGAGCCAGGUCCUCCAGUCCUACCUUUCCACUGUGGCAGUCCCUCUGAAGUCCCAAGAUCAAGAGCUGACAGCUGAAUCCUUGCAUGGAGAGUCGCCUGGACCUGCAGUGGACUCUGGAUGAGGGAGUAUACACCGCUCUCCUGAGAUGGCAAACAGGAGGUCUGGAUCAAUCCUACAGUGUCGGCAAAUGUCUGGAUUACCCUGCAAGGUAAAGAAAGCCUGCACAUAUGGGGCCUCAGACCAUCUGUCCUCAUAUCUACAGAAAAGAUCCAGCUGCUGGAUGGUAUUGAAAUGAAUUGUUCCUUCCUGAAGC
RNAcentral lists this long non-coding RNA (2083 nucleotides) under Homo sapiens (human). Its description in RNAcentral is "HSALNT0059970". The record is from RNAcentral. Lineage: Eukaryota; Metazoa; Chordata; Mammalia; Primates; Hominidae.